GCAGAGUUCAAUUCCUUAUUGGAGCUGGAGGAGUGUGAAUGGUGUGUCUGGCUGAGGGAGCUACAGGACCUCAGACAGAGCAGUGCUGGCAGAGACCAGUGGGCACGAGAAGGUGAUCUGUGCUGGUGGCUGGGACUCAACCAGUGCAAGGCCCUGAGCCCCAGCAAAGCCAUGAGGUGUUGAGAGCAGCCAAAACAGUUGGAAUGAUCUCUGGGUUUCAUUAUCUCAACUGCAGGUUACGAUAGUGAGUUCCAGAAAUAGCAACAGCAAAUGAAUAAGAGAGAAACACUACAGUGCUGAAGGGUUAGCUUCAUAGCUGAAAGGACCAGGAAAUAAAUGUGAGUUACAUUGUCAAGUUAAAAUAACCCAGUGCUGGAAAAAGUAACUUUGUGAGCAUCAGCAAGAAGUAAUGAAGACUUGCUAUACACAGUUAUAAAUGCCCUCUGUCACCUUUUGUUUACUCAGCUAGCAAGAUCAUAUUUUUUGUAUUAUCCGAGUGCUUUUGAUCCAACCAAACCAAUGAAAAUUAAACAGAAUUCUUUCUGUUUCUAAGAAAUAGCAUUGUUUCCUGCAGAAAGACCAAGCGACUCCAUCUCCCUUUGAAAAAGCUGUCUAAGACUCUGGGCUGGCAAUAAGGAUGGGAAAAGAUCAAACAAAUCCAUAACAUGUUUUUGUUAAACACUUUAUUGCAGUUCUAAAAAUGUAUCUAGUUUAAACAUAAACAAUAAACUAGAGCACCAAGAGGUUCUAAUCAA
This is a long non-coding RNA of Mauremys reevesii (Reeves's turtle), 755 nucleotides long. RefSeq lists it as uncharacterized. The transcript is spliced from 2 exons. Lineage: Eukaryota; Metazoa; Chordata; Testudines; Geoemydidae. The record is from RefSeq and is a predicted model, not a curated record.